GACGAACGCUGGCGGCGUGCUUAACACAUGCAAGUCGAACGGAAAGGCCCUGCUUUUGUGGGGUGCUCGAGUGGCGAACGGGUGAGUAACACGUGAGUAACCUGCCCUUGACUUUGGGAUAACUUCAGGAAACUGGGGCUAAUACCGGAUAGGAGCUCCUGCUGCAUGGUGGGGGUUGGAAAGUUUCGGCGGUUGGGGAUGGCCUCGCGGCGUAUCAGCUUGUUGGUGGGGUAGUGGCUUACCAAGGCUUUGACGGGUAGCCGGCCUGAGAGGGUGACCGGCCACAUUGGGACUGAGAUACGGCCCAGACUCCUACGGGAGGCAGCAGUGGGGAAUAUUGCACAAUGGGCGGAAGCCUGAUGCAGCAACGCCGCGUGCGGGAUGACGGCCUUCGGGUUGUAAACCGCUUUCGCCUGUGACGAAGCGUGAGUGACGGUAAUGGGUAAAGAAGCACCGGCUAACUACGUG
This 468-nucleotide ribosomal RNA is filed under the name uncultured bacterium. RNAcentral's name for it is "partial 16S ribosomal RNA". It matches the Rfam family "Bacterial small subunit ribosomal RNA", at positions 28 to 507 of the family's 1533-position model. The record is from RNAcentral.